Long non-coding RNA from Anser brachyrhynchus (Pink-footed goose), 1807 nucleotides. NCBI's taxonomy places the organism in Eukaryota, Metazoa, Chordata, Aves, Anseriformes, Anatidae. The record is from Ensembl.
AGACCGUGUUACCGAAGUCCCGAAAUGCAGCGACGGAAAAAGACGAAGCCGGUUGCUAAUUUUGGUGGGUCCCUGUUUGCCUUUUGGAGAAUCACGGGAAAAGCCCAAAUGACAGGACGAACAGCUGCAGUCCCGAGCAGCGAAGACCCGAGGCAUAAAUAAUUUUCGGGGUGCUGGCACGGCGAUGCAAAUUCAUCUAAACGGACGGGAGGCUGAAUUUUAAAGUUGGUCGGUGCGCAGCCAUCUGCUGAAGUGCUCGCAGCUUUGCAGAUAAUCCGAGCUCUGUUCGUUUCCCCAAAAUAAUAUAUGAGACAGGGCGUGAGUUUUUUUUUUGUUUUUUUUUUUUGUUUUUUUUUCCUAGACAUAACGAAAUCAAGCUAUCGAAGAGAGAGAACCGUGUUAACCAGGGGCGCUGGGAUACGUGAGAGCCGAUAUCAGAUAAUAAAACUGCCGUGCAGCAAAAUAGCGGGCAGUUAUUUAGAACAACAACAAAAUUGCAAAUUUUGAGGAACAAAAAGUACAAUGCAAAACAAACAAUACAGUGCAAUACAAUACAAAGUUAGCAGCUACUUCCCAUCUUAACGGCUGCAUGUUUCAAGCGACGGAAGGAGAAGUUGCACAUGGAGCGAUCAAUUCUGUGUUAAAACAGCUCGGGCAGAGAGCUCUGGAGGACUGAGCUAUUUGGGUUGUGUCACUAAUGUGUUUUAAUCAGAUUUUUUUACGAGGCUGGACGGGCGCUUCGCCAUCGACCUCAAUGGGACUGGAUCAGGCCCUUUGCAUCAGGCCCUCAGCCCAGGGAGGUACUCCCAGGCCCAGGAGCCAGAUCCUGCCGUGGAUUGCAUUCCCUGAGAGGGUUUUCAGGACUCUCCAGUGGAUUUAUGGCAGGCUGGCUGGGAAGAAAAUGCAGAUUUCUGUGUGGGAGCAGAAAGCAGCCCCAGAUUUGAGGGCAUCUCCCAAGGAUUCAAGAAGAGCACCAUCAGCUGUGUUAAUAACAGUGAUGAAUGGAAAGCACAGUUUGUUGAGUGGGCUCCAGCAGGCCUGGGAGUGACAUGCUGUGGCUCCACUCUCACUGGCAUGGGGUGAUGUGCUGUGGUCAGUCCAGGACCCCUGGGUGUUCCUACUACCCAGAAAAAAAGAAUGCAGGAAUAUUUUAAAAAGUCCAUCCCCUGCUAUUGAGCUCUAUCAUCUUCCUCAAACUUUAUCUCAGAAAUGAACAACCAUUACAAAGCUGGGCUAGCUUCUCAGCCUGCAAAGAUCCCUGUUCCUUUCUGGAGCAUGGUGAAGUACCUGCUAGUGCUCACACAGGCUUCCACCACUCUGUGGGGCUCUAUGGGGUGACACAGCCUCUUCUGCCUUAUUUAGGGCACCUUGAACUUUAGAUUUGGUGGGCUGGGAGAAAACCUCUCCCAUUCAGAGCCAUUAGCUCCAGGUUUUGCCUGACUGAAUCUGCUCCCCUAGAUUCAGGUUUUUGUUUGUGUCUCCCCCCCAAAAAAAAGCAAAAACAAAACCAAAAACUUUUGUUGCAUCCACACAGUCUAAAAAGUAAACAAAACAAACCCCCAAAGCUAGAGGCUGAUGUGGUCAUAUGGCUGCAAGUGCUGAGGUGGUUAUAUGCUGUAUUUCUGAGGGUUUCUAAUCAUUCAUGUUUACAUCUGCAGGGCUCUGCCUGGGCCCUUCCAUGUGUUUUGAUGAGGAAUAUUUUGCACAGACUGGGAGACAGUAAAGUGUAUCUGGGGUUAGGGCUACCAGAAAGAUUUUAUCUCAGAUUUAAUGUCAAGGGAAGAAUAAAACCAACAUCAAUUAUACA